CCUAAUAACGUAAAAUCCCAUUGGCAGACGUUAUGCGUCUUUUAAUCUUCUCUAGCAAAUUGAUCUUUGUUAAUGUUCAAGCCGUUACACAGCACAACAUUCAAUCUACUUACAUCUACAACGGUAUUUAACAUCAAAAACCCAACAACAUUCAGGUCCAUCAUCAAAAAAUUAUAAUAAAAAGAACACCAAAAACCUCAUCUUCUUCUUUAAUCUUUCAUAGCACUCAGUUGUAGCAACCAAAUUUCGAAAAACCAGAAUCUCGGAUCGAAAAAUAUGAAACUCGGAAACUCAGCUAGAUUGAAGUACAUAUCUUCACGGUGAAAUAAUGGUGUUCGAACAAUUUACCUCAGGCUAAAGAAAAGCUUGAAAAUUUAUGGGAAUAACAGACAAUUUUGACUAUUUGGAGCCUCUAUCAAACGUUCCACUUACCACCUAAGUAGCACGGAAACGGAAACGGGAAACGGAAACGAUACGAAACGGACACGGGGAAACGAAAGUUUUUCAAAAUGAAGGACACGAAACGUGGGGGAAACGUGUAAAUAACAAAAAUUUAAGGAUAUAUUUAUAAAAAUAUUAUUUAAAUAUUUAUGAUAAUUAACAAAAUAAUUCAAUUUAAUGUACUAAAUAUUUAAAAUUUUAUAAAUAUAUAAAAAAUAUAAUACAAUUCAACACAAAUAAGUAUAUUUGUUGUAUUGUGGGCAAUACGAAUGUAAAAUUUAUGGGUAACUAGUUAAAUUUUUUUAUUUGUGGGUAAUAAUUUUAAAUUUUUUACAAAUUUUAAUUUUUAUUAUUUACAGAAACGGCCCGAAACGUUUCGUACGGGUGUCCAAGAGUUUCCGGUUUCCGAAACGUUUCCGAAACGGGAAACGCAACUUUAUCGAAGUUUCCGUGCUUCUUAGCUUACCACUGUUAACAAUAGAUGCAAGAAUGAAAUCCUCGUGUUUUUUUUUUCAUUCAAUGUUCAAACAAUGAGUCACUUAUUCAUUCCUUCACGCUCACGCUCUCAUGUUAUUUUAAAUUAUGAAGUUUCAGCUUUUGUAUUAGCAUUUUGUUAGUUCUAGAAUAGCUAAGAUCAACUAUGUGUUUGUAAAUAGUUCAUUGUUGGCUUGCUUAUCUCACUAUUUUCCAUUUGGCGAACAUUUAAACCAUAUUUAAAAGCCAAAAAAAAAAGCACAUUACGAUGUAAAUGGAAAUUAAAAUGAAGAAACAUGAACUGAAUUGAAAUGUCAA
This is a long non-coding RNA of Mercurialis annua (annual mercury), 1233 nucleotides long. RefSeq lists it as uncharacterized. The transcript has 3 exons. The record is from RefSeq and is a predicted model, not a curated record. NCBI's taxonomy places the organism in Eukaryota, Viridiplantae, Streptophyta, Magnoliopsida, Malpighiales, Euphorbiaceae.